UACGGGGGGGGGCAAGCGUUGUUCGGAAUACUGGGCGUAAAGCGUGCGCAGGCGGUGAUGUAAGACAGGUGUGAAAUCCCCGGGCUUAACCCUGGGAACUGCAUUUGUGACUGCAUCGCUGGAGUGCGGCAGAGGGGGAUGGAAUUCCGGCGUGUAGCAGUGAAAUGCGUAGAGUAUGCGGAGGAACACCGAUGGCGAAGGCAAUCCCCUGGGCCUGCACUGACGCUCAUGCACGAAAGCGUGGGGAGCAAACAGGAAUUGAG
RNAcentral lists this ribosomal RNA (263 nucleotides) under uncultured bacterium. Its description in RNAcentral is "partial 16S ribosomal RNA". It matches the Rfam family "Bacterial small subunit ribosomal RNA", at positions 524 to 783 of the family's 1533-position model. The record is from RNAcentral.